Molecule: RNA transcript, 6744 nt
Organism: Hypomesus transpacificus
Lineage: Eukaryota; Metazoa; Chordata; Actinopteri; Osmeriformes; Osmeridae
Gene name: pectinesterase inhibitor 10-like
Exons: 5
Source: RefSeq, a predicted model, not a curated record
UGCAUAGACAAGUGAACGUAAAUGUAUUUGUCCAAAGGCCAAGAGCCUCAAAAAGUUAAUAUCAAGCUCUGCAAUCCGUGGCCAGAGAUCCCUGCAAACACGUCUAGUUGGGCCCCACAUGGGCCUCACUUGGGCUAGAUGGGCUUAGGCUGGGCAUGGGCUCAGAGUGGGCUUUGUUGUUGGGCCCCACAUGGGCAGUAGAUGGGCAUAAGAUGGGCUAAACUACGCAUGGGCAUAAGUGGGUUCCAGCUGGGCUCCACUCUUAAGAUAUUCAAAAUUGAUUAUGGAUGCUUUUGUUAUAGGCUUAUUUUAACAACAGUCACUGGCUAGUUCCACUUUUUAUUCAAAUUUUAUCAGGCUUUUUAGCUAUUUAGAAGUGUAGCCAUUGCACUUUAAUAGUGGUUUAAGACAAAAUAUGAAUUUCAACAGACAAUAUUGUAAUAAAAUACAUUUACUAUUAUUUUAUUACAUUAUUGUACUAUCUAGGUUUCCCAGUUCCACCCCAUCACGGAGCAAAAAAAAAAACGUCACUUUGCCGCCUUUCAAAAAUAUAUUGUUUUUUGAAUUUGCCGCCUAAAAAAUUCCCGCCUUCAGUACCAGUACCAACGUCAGAGCGUCUUUGUCUGAUAACUUCUGCAGCAGUCAGUCGCAUGAUGAUCGGAUUUCAGACACCAUCAGUUUAACACGAAAAAACAGGUAAGAAUCUGCCUCUAUGUAUACUUAAACGGGGGAUGUAUUUUUCACGCAUGAGGUUUACUAAAAGCUUUUUUGGAGAGUGUUCGGUUAGCCAGUUUUGAACGUAAACCAAUGAGGUUUCAGCCUAACUAGCUAGCAGCUUUCAGCUAGCUAUGGUAAUUAAACCUGGUUAAAGCAUGGUGUUGAACAUACAAGUCCAAUUUAUUAAGUUAAUAUCAAGCAUGUUUUGAGCUUAUUUUGAGUGGUUGACUUACAUAUAUUGUUUGGAAGGAUUUGGUUGUAAACUUGUUAGCAAGACAGUCAAACAGGCCUAGUUAGCAAGUGGUUAAAACAAGCUGUAGCACAAGCAAAAAUGUAUCGUCUGCUUUUUCCACUUAUGCUUGUUUCUUGUCUGUUGCCUUCCCUCCGGUUUUCUCGAAUUGGAUGAGUAUGUUGUGUAGUUGUUUUGAAGAGAAGGGACGAUUUGGUUCUUUUUUGAUGGGCUAUGGAGAAAGUUAAGGAGGUGAGCGCAGCGCGCACACACAUGAGAAGGAAAGAGAUGGUUAGGCUAUAGUCUCAACAUGCUAAAUUCGCCUCUUUGCCGUACUCUUUUCCAGAAAUAAACGUGAUUUUAGCUGUGGUGAUAUUAUUAGUUCUUGUUGUAAUAGCAGUUCUGUUAGACUGGAUAUUAUUUUCACUUAUUAUCUUAUUAGUCUGCAGAAUGUGUGUGUGUGUGUCAGCGCUGUAUAGGCGUGCUCACACACUCUCAUACACACAACGUCGCGCUCCUGCGUGCGGCAAAGACGGCAAACGAGAGAGUGUGUGUGUGUUCAUUCGCUCGCUCGCCCGUCGUGUACACUGUACACUCAGCUACUACUUUUCUGUGUGAGCAAUAAGGAGUGAAAACUGUAUUGUUUAGCAGGCUAAGAUAAUGCUAAUUGCUAGUAAAUGCUAACGGCACAUCCUCUGGGUGUUCCCCAGUCAUGAAGGUUAAAGCAGCAUUGCAUGACGUUUUGAUAAGUAGUGUGCGGUUGUCAGUGUUUAAAACUUUAAUUGUAAUCUGUGUGAAAAUAAUAUAGUAAAUGGCUGUGGGUCAAAGACUAGUUAUGUUAGAUAAUUCAGUUAAUUAGUAUAAUCCAUAGAAGUUUAAAGUAAAAGCAGUGAGACACACAGUAGGUAAUUAUACAAAUUCAUAGAUUAUUCAGUCUGGAGAAAUGUGGUAUUACUGAUUUGGGAUUUUAAUUUUUUUAUGUAAUUUGACUGUAUGCAAUACUUACCUGUGUAUAUAUGUUAAAAAGAGUAAUUUGACAAUAAAAAUAAGUAUUUUUGUUGCUAAGGUCACUUUUUAAAUACUUACCUGUAGUCCCUGUAAGACCAGUUAAUGAAAUUAAAUUAAAAAAUAGUUCUAUUAAUACUAGUUUUAACAAGCAGUUUUUAAUCAUAGCUAAAAACUUAAAUACUUCUUCUUUUUUAGAAACAAUGGCGUGUUCAGAAAGAACUAAAAAGAGGAAAAUAUCAGCGAAAGUGGAGCAACAUUUGCGUCUCGUUGAAAAUGAGUUGAUGAUGGAUGAUUGGUUGGCAAAAGACUCUGAAAUCGAUGAGGAUCGCUCUGAAAGGGAAUACCCACAAGAUGAUUUGUUAAAGGACUCUGAAAGAGAAGAUUCCAUGGAUACUUUCUACGAUGCUUGUGAUCAGAACUGUUUUGAGAAGUCAUCAAAUGAUUUUGAAGAGAAUUCCUCUGUCUUUUAUGAUUGCAUCAUUUCCUCAUUUGAUGAUUUGGAUUCUGAAAACUGGCUGCCUGCUGGUGAUAGUGACUGUGAUUCGCAUGGAGAUGCAUGUUCCGACUUGGAAGAGGAUAAUGAUGAUGAUGAAUGUGGGCUUGCAGAAUGGGCUUCAGAAUUCAACACACCACAAACAGCGCUGUCUGCACUUCUUAAAAUCCUAAGGAGGAAGGGCCUUGAUAUCCCAAUGGAUGCCAGAACUCUUAUGUCUACUGACAGAUCUUGCGAUGUUUCGGCUGUGGAUGGAGGGUCCUACUACCACUUUGGAAUCGAAAAUGCUCUCAUAGCUGAACUAACAUCUCUUGGACAUUUAGCAAAUAUGACAGAUACUCUCACACUUCGAAUUAAUAUAGAUGGAUUGCCCUUAUUUCGUAGCUCCAGUAUGAGUCUGUGGCCUAUUCUGGGAAAGAUUAAGGAAAUUCCAGAGUGUAGUGUGUUUGUAAUUGGAGUGUACUCCGGUGCGUCCAAACCCAAAAAUGUCCAAGAGUAUUGGAAAGAAUUCAUUGUAGAUUUGAAAGCCGUUUCUCAGAGAGGUAUUGUGUACAAUGGUGUACAUUUCAGUGUACCAUUACCCGAUGCUUUUAUUUGUGAUGCACCUGCGCGGGCCUUUCUUAGAUGCUCCAAAGGCCACACUGGGCAUUACGGGUGUGAGAGGUGCACUCAAAAAGGCCAGUACAUUAAUGGGAAGGUGGUUUAUCCUGAAAUAUCAGCAGAGCUCAGGACAGACGAGCAAUUUGAAAGGCAAGGCUAUCAACAGCACCAACUGUCAGCCUCCCCCCUAAAUGAUCUGGGUAUAGGAUUAGUUAGCAGUUUUGUUUUAGAUUAUAUGCACCUUGUGUGCUUGGGCGCAAUGCGCAAGUUAAUAUUUCUUUGGUUGAAGGGGCCGCAGAAAUCCAGGCAAGCUAUGCAUUUUUUUGUUGUAAUGUCUGCAUAUAUGGUGUCUAUCAGGCAAUAUAUACCUAGCAAUUUUGCAAGGAAACCACGAUCCAUGUUUGAAUUUGGUAAAUGGAAAGCUACAGAGCUUCGGCAAUUUUUACUUUACACUGGCCCUGUUGUUCUCCUCAAUAAUAUUCCCAGUAGAAUGUACAGAAACUUUUUACUUCUAUCUGUGUCUAUGAGAAUUCUUCUGAGUCCUGCCUUAUGUUCUCCUGACAAUUUAGACUAUGCUGAGGAGAUUUUGAAACUCUUCGUAACAGAUUUUGCUGCAAUUUAUGGCAAUGAUUUUGUCAGCUAUAACAUGCAUUCAUUGAUCCACUUAGCUCAAGAUGCACGGAAAUUCGGCCCGUUAGAUAGUAUUUCAGCAUUUCCCUUCGAGACAUUUUUAGGUAAACUUAAAAAACUUGUCCGUCGGCCUCAAAACCCUGUCCAACAACUAGUCAGGCGGCUCCAUGAGAAACAGAAAGUGGCAAGCCAAAAGAGCACAUAAGUUUGCAGCCCACUUAAACAGCUCCACUUUUCUGGACCUAUGAUUAAUUCAACUGCAACAUGGGAUCAAUACAGGCGUUACAAUGAUGGACAGACAAUGAUCUCCUCCUCUCGUGGCGAUAACUGUUUUUCUGUGGGGGGAAGGGUUCUUAUUGUGCGGAACAUUUUGUCACAUUCUGGAACUGUUGAAGUCCUAUGUAAUUUCUUUAAAACUGACAAAAACUUAAAAAAAUUACUUGACAAAUUAUCCAAUGGACUCCUCACGUCUUGGAAUUCUUUUUGUUUUCAAUUUAUCUGAACACUUGCAGCUGUUACCUGUUGAGUUAAAAACAAAAAUGGUUUUGUUGCCAUUCAAGACUGGAUACGUGGCAUUGCCACUCCUGCACUAGUGUGCUAUUUAUUUAUUUUUUAUUGUUCGUUUUGAUUUACCGAUUUGUUUUUUUAUUCACAUUUGCGAGAAAAAGUAUGUGAACCCUUUGGGAUUACUUGGAUUUCUGCAUUUUCACUUUUUCUCGCAACUGUAUGUAUUUUAUGUAUUUUUUUUUCUUUAAGCAUGUUGCCUUUCGCCAUAGUGGCAUUUGAAAAUAAUGGCGGAUUGGCAGUUAUUCCAACGAAAUGGUUUACCGGGGGUGAGGAGGACGAAUGUUACUGGCCACCAGCCAAGAUCAACAUGGCAAAGGCGGUCGCAGAACAACUGGAGCCGCACACUGAUUGGGCAACAUUCAAAUUGACGGUCAAGAGAAAAGCCGCAACGUAUGGAGUUGCCCGCUCAAAAUUGGUUGAAUACGAGGAAAAUACAGAUGUCCUGACCGAGUCUGAUUCCGAGAACUUGGGAAAAGGACAGCGCAAAAGGAGGAAAGUCAUUUUUACAAGUGAGGAUGAGGAUGAUGACAGCCCCAUCGGACCUACCGCUCCAUCCAGCCUCAGGUCACUACCUACCGCUACAUCCAGCCUCAGGUCAUCACCUACCGCUCCAUCCUACGCUACAUCCAGCCUCGGGUCACCACCUACCGCUCCAUCCUACGCUACAUCCAGCCUCAGGUCACCACCUACCGCUCCAUCCUUCGCUACAUCCAGCCUCAGGUCACCACCUACCGCUCCAUCCUUCGCUACAUCCAGCCUCAAGUCACCACCUACCCCUCCAUCCUACGCUCCAUCCAGCCUCGGGUCACCACCUACCGCUCCAUCCAGCCUCAGGUCACCACCUACCGCUCCAUCCUACGCUACAUCCAGCCUCAGGACACCACCUACCGCUCCAUCCUACGCUACAUCCAGCUUAAGGUCACCGCCUACCGCUCCAUCUCCAGUAAGAGACUCCAUGUUCGUGCGCAUCUUAACCCUCCUUGAGGAGGUGAAAGAAACACAAAAGAUUCACGGGAGGAUGCUACAAACGCUGUUACAACAGCGUGGAACCACUGUCUGCACCGUCUCUUCUACCCCAGAGGGUUUCCCCUUAAAGACGGUUCAAGAUGUCAUGAACAUGGAGGAAAAACUGGCGAACACAAACGUCAUGUCUGAACUGGUCGCAGUUGUGGCUGACAUUGGGGGGGCAACUAUUGAUGAGGCCACAAGAAGGAUGAUGGCCUUCCUCCUUGACCACGGCCUGUCUAGGAAUUACAACCUUCUGGGCUGAAACGGGAAGAGGGAGUUUAAGGCCUUGAAGUUGUUUGAAGUGAUAUAUGGAGGCAUGAAGAAAAACCAGAUGACCAGCAAUAUUACCCGUAAAGAUGCAGAGAAGGCCAUCUCCAAAUGGUUCAUUGGUUCUAGGGACCGGGGGGGUAAUCGACAGGUCCGACAGGCCACCCCUCAACAAAGACUUCAGACAUUUGAGGAGCCAUAAUAUGAUGAAUACAAGUCCACUCACACUAGUGCGACAGGUUGCUAAUGAGCAGAUGCUGUCUCUUUGACAGCGCUGUUUUAUUUCCUAGCAGAUUUUGUAGAAAAUAAUUAUAAUAUCCAUAAGUAGGUUUAAUUUAGUGCAUAAUAGCUGAAAAAAAUGUUUUGAAUUAUUAUUCAAUUAUUUUCGCUUAUAUAUGUUCAUAUUUCUGCAUAUUUUGGACCAAGGCCUAGUGCCGCCAUCUUGAAAGUGUCUUAGUUGGAAUGUCAUCAGGUGCAUUGUUUAAAAUUUAGAAUUGUUCUUGUCCUUAAAGGCCACUGUAGCUUCUGUUAUUAUUCGAAAGGGUUGGGGUUACCCAGGGAGUGUUGCAUUCUAGAACGUUGUAGAACUUUCUUGAUGAUGUCAUAUUACACAGUGCACCUUUAAACAUAGCCUAUUAAAGGUGCAGUGUGUAAUAUGACAUCAUCAAGAAAGAUGACAGGCUCAAAGGUAACCUGGAUAGCUGAGUAUGAAGAUUUUUUUUUUUUUAAAGGUCUAUAAAGGUUUAUAAAGUUUUUCAAGGUCAUCAUUCUGUAAAAAAAAAGUUGAAUAUAUAGAGGUUUGAAUAACAUUUCUUGAUCAAAUGAUGAAUAAGUUGAAAGACAUCGAUAAAAAACUUAAAACUGUAAAAAUAGUAUUUGACUUGGAGCUGAACUACAUUGAUGGCUUGAAUGUAUAUGAAUCAGCUAAAGGAGUAUGAAGAUGUGGAAAAGUAAGAAAUAGUCUUAACUAUGAACUGUAGGGAAUUGUUGAACUCUAAUAGAAAUGAUGUGGAAUAUUUAAACAUUUAUAGAUAAAAUUAUAAUUGAAAGACAAGAAAAAAAAAUCUAAUGUGUGAAAUAAGGUUAAGGUUUAUGCAAGUUUUCGAUCAUUCUUUGUGUGGUACCGAAUUUGUUUGUGCUACUGAUUUUUUUUUGCAUUCUAACACAAAUAAAAAUGUAAUUAAUUGUAUUACUGGUCUCUUUGUUAUUGUAACUUAAAUAAAUC